RNAcentral lists this ribosomal RNA (786 nucleotides) under Triticum aestivum (bread wheat). RNAcentral describes it as "partial small subunit ribosomal RNA". The record is from RNAcentral. Lineage: Eukaryota; Viridiplantae; Streptophyta; Magnoliopsida; Poales; Poaceae.
AUGACGGAGCGGCAGGACGAGGCGUGGUGCUCGUGCUCGCCGAGGCAGUGCAGGAUUUGCCACGAGGAGGAAGGGGACGACGGCUGCGCAACCGCAACCGCCAUGGAGUCUCCCUGCGGAUGCUCUGGCUCCCUCAAGUAUGCUCACAGGGGGUGCGUGCAGAGAUGGUGCGACGAGAAGGGGAGCACCGUCUGCGAGAUUUGCCUCCAGAAUUACGAGCCUGGAUACACCGUUGCUCCCAAGAAAACUCAAGUUGCUCAUGUCGCAGUCACCAUCAGAGGGAGCCUGGAGGUCCCAAGGCAGGAUUAUGAGGCACCGGAGGAUGCCGUGUUGAUCGGGCUCGACGCGGCGGUGGGUGACCCGGCCUACGCCGAGUGCGCGAGCGCCGCCGGCAGAAGUGCUGCCUGGUGCCGGUCGGUGACGGUGACGUUCACUGUUGUGUUGCUGCUGAGGCAUCUCAUCGCCCUGGUGACCGUCGGCGCCGCGAAUCAGUACGCCUUCAGCCUGCUGACGAUAUACUUGCUGAGGGCGAGUGGGAUCUUGCUGCCGUUCUACGUCCUCAUGCGGCUCAUCUCCGCGGUGCAGCACGGCCAGAUGCAGUACCGGCUGCAGAUGCUCCAGGUGCGUUGCGUCGUCCGAGUUUUAGGCGCUGGUUGCAGGGGAGGUUCCAGUGAGCAAGUUUUUGACACCUGUUUCUUGCUGCAGGAUCAAAGAAGGAACGCAUCAAGAAUGCAACACGGGGUGCCCGGUCAGAGACAACAGCAGCAUGUGAUUCUUGUUGUGUGA